UCUCCAGCUUCCUCAAUCAAGAAAUGUCAAGAGAUUCAGAAUAUACCUGUAAAUAGUUAUGAAGGUAUUCUGAACAUAUGAAAUGACAAUCUUUUUAAAUUGUACAUUAUAAUGGAGCUAUUUUCAAAUAUCAUGUCAUUUGGAAGGCACUAAGUGAUAAUAAAUAACAAAAAAAAAUUUCCACAUUGGUUCGUGUCAGUGGUUCUCAAAGUGUGGUCCUCUGGACCAGGAGCAUCAGCAUCACCUGAAAACCUGCUUGAGAUGCAAAUUAUUCCAGACCUCCUGGAACAGAAACUCUUGGGGUGUGGCCUGACAAUCUGUACUUUAACAAGCUCUCAAAGAGAUUCUGAUGUGUUCAAGUUCUGGAACCAUGGAUCUAGGCUUCUAGAAGACCACUCACCGACAGGAGUGAGUGCUGGCUUGCUCUGCAUUCUUCCCUCCAAGUGAACCUAAAAUGACAUGACCCUAUGUCUCUGGACAAAUUUUUAAAUUUCAGACUCAAGGUGCCUUUCCAACUCUGACUGUUAAUUGAGUAUGUCAGUACUGCUCCCCUAAGGUGAGCAUCAUUUGAUAAUGCUGGUUAUCUCAUAGAAGGCAUGGCCAUUCUAGCUCCUAUGCUCUGCUGUAGACAUGUUCCAGAAUGCCAAGGGAAGCAAGGCUGGCCCCAUGUUCUCGUGCAAGUCAUGACAGCCAGAUAUUGGAAGUCCACCUCACACCUCAGAUAUAUAUACCAGUGACUGUAGGGCACUAAAUCUCACUGUUGAAGACUGGACCCUUUGACAGCUUCCACAUGCAAUUCUGUCUCACUCCUCUGAGUGCUUCCACGCCCCCAUGUCAGGUUGGGAAUUGCUGCCCCUACUUCCCUAUUAGCCCAAGGAUGUGGUUGACACAGAAAAGAGGACACGAGCUGCCGGGAAAGGAAACCAGAGCUGCCGGACUCGUUCCUCCCUAUCACUGGGCUUCCUGUUCUGGGAGUGACCUUUGUACACUGAUGAGUCUGUGACAUUUGGAGCGGCUGCAGCCAUCCUGCAACCAUGAGGACAAUCCCAACAUGGUGGGAAUGGCAGAGCAGAAAGGCAGAAAGAACAUUGGACCCUGAUGACCACCUAACCACACAAUUAGCCAGCCCUGGAACUCUCUCUCCUCUGGACAUCUUGUUGUAUGAGAUAAUAAAUUUCCUUCUUAUGUCA
Molecule: long non-coding RNA, 1190 nt
Filed under: Equus caballus (horse)
Lineage: Eukaryota; Metazoa; Chordata; Mammalia; Perissodactyla; Equidae
Description: lncRNA (ENSECAG00000057569.1)
Source: RNAcentral